Molecule: long non-coding RNA, 1058 nt
Filed under: Homo sapiens (human)
Lineage: Eukaryota; Metazoa; Chordata; Mammalia; Primates; Hominidae
Description: MPRIP antisense RNA 1 (MPRIP-AS1)
Source: RNAcentral
AACACUUGGAAGCUCCUCAGGAGCAGAAACAACGUGUGGUUACCUUUUUGUAUUCCUGAUGGUGCUCAGCAUAGAAUGCAUCACAUGACAUGUGUCAAUAUUUAUUUGAUGAAUGAUCUGACAUGACAUGGAAUAAUCCAGGAAUGCCAAGGCAUGGAUUCACCACUUCUGAAAAAACCUGGGAAACUGCUACAAAAGGGGUUGUUCUGAUGAUCCACUGGCAAAGAGGAGGCACAAAAACAGCCAGGCUCCAGAAUUCACUGAGGUGAAAUGAGUUAAUGAAAAUCAAAACAGAGGAGCAGCAAGACCAGUGGAAAUAACUCCAAUAUCCAAGGAGUGACCAACUGGCACAGAUCAUCCCCCGCUCUACUCUCCCUCCAAAAGCCAGACCACUGGGAAGUGUCCACGGCGGUCAGAUGCCAUCAGGAGCUGAAAUGAAAUGGACUAUGCGGUGUAUGUCUUCCUUUGUGUGGGGAGAAGGGACUUGUCCAUAAUGCGAGUCUGCUGGCCCAGGUCAUGAAUGACAGGCACAGCUCCCAGCCCCAAAUCAUCACAAGGGUCCAUGACCUAUUUUCAACAUUUCAACAAGCCCAAUCCAGCCUGGGCAGCAUGGUGAAACCCCGUCUCUACAAAAAAUACAAAAAUUAGCUAGGCAUGGUGAUGCACGCCUGUAGCCCCAGCUACUCAGGAGGCUGAGUGGAAGCAAUUUAUAGGGUGCAAGCGGCAGCACUGUAAGAAAGUUUGUGAGGAAGGAGAGUUUUGUAACCGGAGUCAAAUCCAGAGGGGCUUCCUGGCAGAGAAACAAACCACAGGUCAGGCCAAUGAUGGUCCCAGCUCUAGCGGGGCCCUGCCCUGGGCAAUGCACAUUUUAGUAAGAGGUAAGCCAAGGCCUCUGGGCCCCCAACCCUUCACUAGUGCUAGUGUGCUGAACCCCUGGCUCAGGAAGAAGGGAGGUGCUACAGGGGCAGGCCUUGGCAUGGAAGGAAUUGGGAGCUGCUCGGUAUAAUGCAAACCUUUAACUGCUCUUUUGCCUCUUCCAUUUUACUGUUCCUAGAGUC